RNAcentral lists this ribosomal RNA (1385 nucleotides) under Bacillus pumilus. RNAcentral describes it as "bacterial SSU rRNA". It matches the Rfam family "Bacterial small subunit ribosomal RNA", at positions 122 to 1492 of the family's 1533-position model. The record is from RNAcentral. Lineage: Bacteria; Bacillati; Bacillota; Bacilli; Caryophanales; Bacillaceae.
UAACUGCCUGUAAGACUGGGAUAACUCCGGGAAACCGGGAGCUAAUACCGGAUAGUUCCUUGAACCGCAUGGUUCAAGGAUGAAAGACGGUUUCGGCUGUCACUUACAGAUGGACCCGCGGCGCAUUAGCUAGUUGGUGGGGUAAUGGCUCACCAAGGCGACGAUGCGUAGCCGACCUGAGAGGGUGAUCGGCCACACUGGGACUGAGACACGGCCCAGACUCCUACGGGAGGCAGCAGUAGGGAAUCUUCCGCAAUGGACGAAAGUCUGACGGAGCAACGCCGCGUGAGUGAUGAAGGUUUUCGGAUCGUAAAGCUCUGUUGUUAGGGAAGAACAAGUGCGAGAGUAACUGCUCGCACCUUGACGGUACCUAACCAGAAAGCCACGGCUAACUACGUGCCAGCAGCCGCGGUAAUACGUAGGUGGCAAGCGUUGUCCGGAAUUAUUGGGCGUAAAGGGCUCGCAGGCGGUUUCUUAAGUCUGAUGUGAAAGCCCCCGGCUCAACCGGGGAGGGUCAUUGGAAACUGGGAAACUUGAGUGCAGAAGAGGAGAGUGGAAUUCCACGUGUAGCGGUGAAAUGCGUAGAGAUGUGGAGGAACACCAGUGGCGAAGGCGACUCUCUGGUCUGUAACUGACGCUGAGGAGCGAAAGCGUGGGGAGCGAACAGGAUUAGAUACCCUGGUAGUCCACGCCGUAAACGAUGAGUGCUAAGUGUUAGGGGGUUUCCGCCCCUUAGUGCUGCAGCUAACGCAUUAAGCACUCCGCCUGGGGAGUACGGUCGCAAGACUGAAACUCAAAGGAAUUGACGGGGGCCCGCACAAGCGGUGGAGCAUGUGGUUUAAUUCGAAGCAACGCGAAGAACCUUACCAGGUCUUGACAUCCUCUGACAACCCUAGAGAUAGGGCUUUCCCUUCGGGGACAGAGUGACAGGUGGUGCAUGGUUGUCGUCAGCUCGUGUCGUGAGAUGUUGGGUUAAGUCCCGCAACGAGCGCAACCCUUGAUCUUAGUUGCCAGCAUUCAGUUGGGCACUCUAAGGUGACUGCCGGUGACAAACCGGAGGAAGGUGGGGAUGACGUCAAAUCAUCAUGCCCCUUAUGACCUGGGCUACACACGUGCUACAAUGGACAGAACAAAGGGCUGCAAGACCGCAAGGUUUAGCCAAUCCCAUAAAUCUGUUCUCAGUUCGGAUCGCAGUCUGCAACUCGACUGCGUGAAGCUGGAAUCGCUAGUAAUCGCGGAUCAGCAUGCCGCGGUGAAUACGUUCCCGGGCCUUGUACACACCGCCCGUCACACCACGAGAGUUUGCAACACCCGAAGUCGGUGAGGUAACCUUUAUGGAGCCAGCCGCCGAAAGUGCGGGCAGAUGAUUGGGGUGAAGUCGUAAC